Molecule: ribosomal RNA, 253 nt
Filed under: uncultured bacterium
Lineage: Bacteria
Description: partial 16S ribosomal RNA
Rfam family: Bacterial small subunit ribosomal RNA
Source: RNAcentral
UACGGGGGGGGCAAGCGUUGUUCGGAAUUACUGGGCGUAAAGGGCUCGUAGGCGGCCCUCUCAGUCGGAUGUGAAAUCCCCAGGCUUAACCUGGGAACGGCAUCCGAUACUGGAGGGCUUGAAUUCGGGAGAGGGAUGCAGAAUUCCAGGUGUAGCGGUGAAAUGCGCAGAUAUCAGGAGGAACACCGGUGGCGAAGGCGGCAUCCUGGACCAAUACUGACACUGAGGCGCGAAAGCGUGGGGAGCGAACAGG